UGGGGAAUAGUUUAGCGGUAGAACCUCCGGCUCUGGACCGGGUAACCGUGGUUCGAAUCCACGUUCCCCAGCCA
Molecule: transfer RNA, 74 nt
Filed under: Holosporaceae bacterium
Lineage: Bacteria; Pseudomonadati; Pseudomonadota; Alphaproteobacteria; Holosporales; Holosporaceae
Description: tRNA-Gln
Rfam family: tRNA
About the family: Transfer RNA (tRNA) molecules are approximately 80 nucleotides in length. Their secondary structure includes four short double-helical elements and three loops (D, anti-codon, and T loops). Further hydrogen bonds mediate the characteristic L-shaped molecular structure. tRNAs have two regions of fundamental functional importance: the anti-codon, which is responsible for specific mRNA codon recognition, and the 3' end, to which the tRNAs corresponding amino acid is attached (by aminoacyl-tRNA synthetases). tRNAs cope with the degeneracy of the genetic code in two manners: having more than one tRNA (with a specific anti-codon) for a particular amino acid; and 'wobble' base-pairing, i.e. permitting non-standard base-pairing at the 3rd anti-codon position.
Source: RNAcentral